Molecule: ribosomal RNA, 429 nt
Filed under: Actinomycetes bacterium
Lineage: Bacteria; Bacillati; Actinomycetota; Actinomycetes
Description: Actinobacteria bacterium partial 16S ribosomal RNA
Rfam family: Bacterial small subunit ribosomal RNA
Source: RNAcentral
UAGGGAAUCUUCCGCAAUGGGCGAAAGCCUGACGGAGCAACGCCGCGUGAGUGAUGAAGGUCUUCGGAUCGUAAAACUCUGUUAUUAGGGAAGAACAAAUGUGUAAGUAACUAUGCACGUCUUGACGGUACCUAAUCAGAAAGCCACGGCUAACUACGUGCCAGCAGCCGCGGUAAUACGUAGGUGGCAAGCGUUAUCCGGAAUUAUUGGGCGUAAAGCGCGCGUAGGCGGUUUUUUAAGUCUGAUGUGAAAGCCCACGGCUCAACCGUGGAGGGUCAUUGGAAACUGGAAAACUUGAGUGCAGAAGAGGAAAGUGGAAUUCCAUGUGUAGCGGUGAAAUGCGCAGAGAUAUGGAGGAACACCAGUGGCGAAGGCGACUUUCUGGUCUGUAACUGACGCUGAUGUGCGAAAACGUGGGGAUCAAACAGG